RNAcentral lists this ribosomal RNA (253 nucleotides) under uncultured bacterium. Its description in RNAcentral is "partial 16S ribosomal RNA". It matches the Rfam family "Bacterial small subunit ribosomal RNA", at positions 524 to 776 of the family's 1533-position model. The record is from RNAcentral.
UACGGGGGGAGCAAGCGUUGUUCGGAUUCAUUGGGCGUAAAGGGUGCGUAGGUGGCGCGGUAAGUCGGGUGUGAAAUUUCGGAGCUUAACUCCGAAACUGCAUUCGAUACUGCCGUGCUUGAGGACUGGAGAGGAGGCUGGAAUUUACGGUGUAGCAGUGAAAUGCGUAGAGAUCGUAAGGAAGACCAGUGGCGAAGGCGGGUCUCUGGACAGUUCCUGACACUGAGGCACGAAGGCCAGGGGAGCAAACGGG